AUUGAACGCUGGCGGCAGGCCUAACACAUGCAAGUCGAACGAGUGGCGGACGGGUGAGUAAUGUCUGGGAAACUGCCCGAUGGCGGGGGAUAACUACUGGAAAAGGUAGCUAAUACCGCAUACCAUCAGAUGAACCCAUAUGGGAUUAGCUUGUAGGUGAGGUAACGGCUCACCUAGGCGACGAUCCCUAGCUGGUCUGAGAGGAUGAUCAUCAACACUGGGAUUGAGACACGGCCCAGACUCCUACGGGAUGCAGCAGUGGGGAAUAUUGCAAAAUGGGGGCAAGCCUGAUGCAGCCAUGCCGCGUGUAUGAAGAAGGCCUUCGGGUUGUAAAGUACUUUCAGUCGGGAGGCGUUACCGACAGAAGAAGCACCGGCUAACUCCGUGCCAGCAGCCGCGGUAAUAC
RNAcentral lists this ribosomal RNA (406 nucleotides) under uncultured bacterium. RNAcentral describes it as "partial 16S ribosomal RNA". It matches the Rfam family "Bacterial small subunit ribosomal RNA", at positions 30 to 526 of the family's 1533-position model. The record is from RNAcentral.